Molecule: long non-coding RNA, 817 nt
Organism: Girardinichthys multiradiatus
Lineage: Eukaryota; Metazoa; Chordata; Actinopteri; Cyprinodontiformes; Goodeidae
Exons: 3
Source: RefSeq, a predicted model, not a curated record
GCGCGAGCUGAUGUCGGGCGACGUGUCGGACAGUCCCGGGAGGUCCUCGGCCUUGGUGGGCGUCACCGUGAAGCGGACCGAUGACAUGGCGGGUAGCUUAGAGAGAUCUUCAGACCUCAUCUUUGCUGCAGUCAAACUGUGAAGACUUCCUCUGGGAACUGGGUGCAGCCUUGUUACCCAUCUGGCUGCCAAAUCCUCACAGGCCUCCGAUUCUCAAUCAGAGAGCUGCUCCAAAUCCAGACCCAGAACACCAUACAGCAGCACCAGAACCGGUCAGCAUCCUGUGUACCUCUGCAGCUUCUGAGGAUAAUGUCGAUGAUGACUAUAUGACGCAAACAGACGUGGUAGCAAGAUGCUGCAUAUCUUCUAUAAGUCUGUUGUGGAGAGUGUGAUCUCUUCUGCCAUCAUCUGCUGGGGAAGCAACAUCAGAGUCAGGGACUUAAAAAAGCUCAACAAACUAAUAAAGGCAGGAUCUGUACUGCAGACUCAUCUGGAACCUCUGGAGCUCAUUGUGCAAAGGAUUCUUCAUAAAAGGAAGAACAUUAUGGAGAACCCUGAGCAUCCUCUUCAUCAGACUAUUAUACAACAAGAGUGUCAUCAGUCAGAGACUUCUUCAGAUCUGCUGUAAGACGGAGCGCUACAGGAGAUCCUUCCUGCCCACAUCCAUCAGCAUCUACAACGGCUCUUUGGAGAAACCUACAUAAUGAGCUACAACAACAUUUAAUUUCCCUUUGGGAUUAAUAAAAUAUUUUCAAAUUUGAAUUGAAUUUCUGAGUUGCAUGUCAAGUCUGGAGCAUGUACAGGUCCUUCUCAAAAU